RNAcentral lists this ribosomal RNA (249 nucleotides) under uncultured bacterium. RNAcentral's name for it is "partial 16S ribosomal RNA". It matches the Rfam family "Archaeal small subunit ribosomal RNA", at positions 473 to 720 of the family's 1478-position model. The record is from RNAcentral.
ACACCGGCGGCCCGAGUGGUGGCCACUAUUAUUGGGGUCUAAAGGAUCCGUAGCCGGUUUGGUCAGUCUUCCGGGAAAUCUGACGGCUCAACCGUUAGGCUUUCGGGGGAUACUACCAGGCUUGGGACCGGGAGAGGUAAGAGGUACUACGGGGGUAGGAGUGAAAUCUUGUAAUCCCUGUGGGACCACCAGUGGCGAAGGCGUCUUACCAGAACGGGUCCGACGGUGAGGGACGAAAGCUGGGGGCAC